AACGCUAGCUACAGGCUUAACACAUGCAAGUCGAGGGGCAGCGCAGUGUAGCAAUACACGGGCGGCGACCGGCGCACGGGUGCGUAACGCGUAUCCAACCUUCCCGAUACUCAGGGAUAGCCUUCCGAAAGGGAGAUUAAUACCUGAUGGUGUUUCACUUCCGCAUGUUAAUGAAACUAAAGAUUUAUCGGUAUCGGAUGGGGAUGCGUGACAUUAGAUAGUAGGCGGGGUAACGGCCCACCUAGUCUACGAUGUCUAGGGGUUCUGAGAGGAAGGUCCCCCACACUGGAACUGAGACACGGUCCAGACUCCUACGGGAGGCAGCAGUGAGGAAUAUUGGUCAAUGGCCGGAAGGCUGAACCAGCCAAGUAGCGUGAAGGAUGAAGGUUCUAUGGAUUGUAAACUUCUUUUAUACGGGAAUAAAGCCCGCUACGUGUAGCGGUUUGUAUGUACCGUAUGAAUAAGCAUCGGCUAACUCCGUGCCAGCAGCCGCGGUAAUACGGAGGAUGCGAGCGUUAUCCGGAUUUAUUGGGUUUAAAGGGAGCGUAGACGGGUUUUUAAGCCAGCUGUGAAAGUUUGCGGCUCAACCGUAAAAUUGCAGUUGGAACUGGAGACCUUGAGUGUGCAUAAGGUGGAUGGAAUUCGUGGUGUAGCGGUGAAAUGCUUAGAUAUCACGAAGAACUCCGAUUGCGAAGGCAGUCCACUGGGGCACUACUGACGCUGAGGCUCGAAAGUGCGGGUAUCAAACAGGAUUAGAUACCCUGGUAGUCCGCACAGUAAACGAUGGACACUCGCUGUUGGCGAUAUACGGUCAGCGGCCAAGCGAAAGCAUUAAGUGUCCCACCUGGGGAGUACGCCGGCAACGGUGAAACUCAAAGGAAUUGACGGGGGCCCGCACAAGCGGAGGAACAUGUGGUUUAAUUCGAUGAUACGCGAGGAACCUUACCCGGGCUUGAACUGCAGAUGACUUUUCCGGAAACGGGAUUUCCCUUCGGGGCAUCUGUGGAGGUGCUGCAUGGUUGUCGUCAGCUCGUGCCGUGAGGUGUCGGCUUAAGUGC
Molecule: ribosomal RNA, 1058 nt
Filed under: uncultured Bacteroidales bacterium
Lineage: Bacteria; Pseudomonadati; Bacteroidota; Bacteroidia; Bacteroidales
Description: bacterial SSU rRNA
Rfam family: Bacterial small subunit ribosomal RNA
Source: RNAcentral